UGACGAUGCUUGUGCUGGUGCGGAACGCAUAUGUGCACGGCUUUCGUGCUCAAAUCCACUCAAACCCCUGUGCACCUUUGAACGGUUGAAGCUAGUAGUUAGUAACUGUAACUUUCGACUCGAUGACUCGGUACUGUUAGUAUUAACUAGCAGGAAAACGUUAAAGAGAAGAGAGGGUGAAGGCGAACGCGAACGCUUUGACUAGUUUAUAUUAUUACAAACCCUUUUAUUGUUAUGUGAAUGUAAUGCUCCUUGUGGGCGAUAAUGUUAAUACAACUUUCAACAACGGAUCUCUAGGCUCUCGCAUCGAUGAAGAACGCAGCGAAAUGCGAUAAGUAAUGUGAAUUGCAGAAUUCAGUGAAUCAUCGAAUCUUUGAACGCACCUUGCGCCCCUUGGUAUUCCGAGGGGCAUGCCUGUUUGAGUGUCGUGUUAAUCUCAAAUCACUUGUCUUAUGUUUGCUUCUUGAUUGAAGUAGGCUGACUUGCGAUUUGGACUUGGAGGUUUAUGCUGGCCCGGGCGACUUUGUUGUUACCCUUUGGUUUGCCGGCUCCUCUUAAAUACAUUAGCUGGACUUUGGUUCGCGUUUUAUGGUGUAAUAGUGUUAUUAUGCUUCACCGGAGCGCUUGCCUAACGGGUCUGCUUCUAAUCGUCCGUGUAAUAUAGGACAAGGAUCCCUUAGUGGCCUUAACUCUGACACCUUGACCUCAAUCUUGUAGGACUACCCGCUGAACUCUUUCCAUAUGACAACUCCGAAGCAAGAAUCAAUAAACCAGUUUUGAAACCCGAAAGCUUGUGCCGGGUGCGGAAACUCAUAUGUGCACGGGCUUUCUUCCUCAAUCCAUUCAACCCCCGUUGCACUUUGUAACGGUUAAAGCUGUAAGUAAAUACUGUAAAUUUUACUCAUUAAUCGGCUCUGGUUAAUUAUAACUACGGAAGAUUUUUAUUGA
This 948-nucleotide ribosomal RNA is filed under the name Inonotus krawtzewii. Its description in RNAcentral is "eukaryotic LSU rRNA". The stretch from base 275 to 428 matches the Rfam family "5.8S ribosomal RNA". The record is from RNAcentral. Lineage: Eukaryota; Fungi; Basidiomycota; Agaricomycetes; Hymenochaetales; Hymenochaetaceae.